This 1437-nucleotide ribosomal RNA is filed under the name uncultured organism. Its description in RNAcentral is "16S ribosomal RNA". It matches the Rfam family "Bacterial small subunit ribosomal RNA". The record is from RNAcentral.
CAGGCUUAACACAUGCAAGUCGAGGGGCAGCAUUUUAGUUUGCUUGCAAACUGAAGAUGGCGACCGGCGCACGGGUGAGUAACACGUAUCCAACCUGCCGAUAACUCCGGGAUAGCCUUUCGAAAGAAAGAUUAAUACCGGAUAGCAUACGAAUAUCGCAUGAUAUUUUUAUUAAAGAAUUUCGGUUAUCGAUGGGGAUGCGUUCCAUUAGUUUGUUGGCGGGGUAACGGCCCACCAAGACUACGAUGGAUAGGGGUUCUGAGAGGAAGGUCCCCCACAUUGGAACUGAGACACGGUCCAAACUCCUACGGGAGGCAGCAGUGAGGAAUAUUGGUCAAUGGGCGCGAGCCUGAACCAGCCAAGUAGCGUGAAGGAUGAAGGCUCUAUGGGUCGUAAACUUCUUUUAUAUGGGAAUAAAGUUUUCCACGUGUGGAAUUUUGUAUGUACCAUAUGAAUAAGGAUCGGCUAACUCCGUGCCAGCAGCCGCGGUAAUACGGAGGAUCCGAGCGUUAUCCGGAUUUAUUGGGUUUAAAGGGAGCGUAGGUGGAUUGUUAAGUCAGUUGUGAAAGUUUGCGGCUCAACCGUAAAAUUGCAGUUGAAACUGGCAGUCUUGAGUACAGUAGAGGUGGGCGGAAUUCGUGGUGUAGCGGUGAAAUGCUUAGAUAUCACGAAGAACUCCGAUUGCGAAGGCAGCUCACUAGACUGUCACUGACACUGAUGCUCGAAAGUGUGGGUAUCAAACAGGAUUAGAUACCCUGGUAGUCCACACAGUAAACGAUGAAUACUCGCUGUUUGCGAUAUACAGUAAGCGGCCAAGCGAAAGCAUUAAGUAUUCCACCUGGGGAGUACGCCGGCAACGGUGAAACUCAAAGGAAUUGACGGGGGCCCGCACAAGCGGAGGAACAUGUGGUUUAAUUCGAUGAUACGCGAGGAACCUUACCCGGGCUUAAAUUGCAACAGAAUAUAUUGGAAACAGUAUAGCCGUAAGGCUGUUGUGAAGGUGCUGCAUGGUUGUCGUCAGCUCGUGCCGUGAGGUGUCGGCUUAAGUGCCAUAACGAGCGCAACCCUUAUCUUUAGUUACUAACAGGUUAUGCUGAGGACUCUAGAGAGACUGCCGUCGUAAGAUGUGAGGAAGGUGGGGAUGACGUCAAAUCAGCACGGCCCUUACGUCCGGGGCUACACACGUGUUACAAUGGGGGGUACAGAAGGCGGCUACCUGGUGACAGGAUGCUAAUCCCAAAAACCUCUCUCAGUUCGGAUCGAAGUCUGCAACCCGACUUCGUGAAGCUGGAUUCGCUAGUAAUCGCGCAUCAGCCAUGGCGCGGUGAAUACGUUCCCGGGCCUUGUACACACCGCCCGUCAAGCCAUGAAAGCCGGGGGUACCUGAAGUACGUAACCGCAAGGAGCGUCCUAGGGUAAAACUGGUAAUUGGGGCUA